This 736-nucleotide ribosomal RNA is filed under the name uncultured bacterium. Its description in RNAcentral is "bacterial SSU rRNA". It matches the Rfam family "Bacterial small subunit ribosomal RNA", at positions 49 to 765 of the family's 1533-position model. The record is from RNAcentral.
CUAUACAUGCAAGUCGAGCGAAUGACGAAGAAGCUUGCUUCUUCUGAUUUAGCGGCGGACGGGUGAGUAACACGUGGGCAACCUGCCCUGUAGAUUGGGAUAACUCCGGGAAACCGGGGCUAAUACCGAAUAAUCCAUUUCCUCACAUGGGGAGAUGUUAAAAGACGGCAUCUCGCUGUCACUACAGGAUGGGCCCGCGGCGCAUUAGCUAGUUGGUGAGGUAACGGCUCACCAAGGCGACGAUGCGUAGCCGACCUGAGAGGGUGAUCGGCCACACUGGGACUGAGACACGGCCCAGACUCCUACGGGAGGCAGCAGUAGGGAAUCUUCCACAAUGGACGAAAGUCUGAUGGAGCAAUGCCGCGUGAGUGAAGAAGGUUUUCGGAUCGUAAAACUCUGUUGUGAGGGAAGAACAAGUACGAGAGUAACUGCUCGUACCUUGACGGUACCUCAUUAGAAAGCCACGGCUAACUACGUGCCAGCAGCCGCGGUAAUACGUAGGUGGCAAGCGUUGUCCGGAAUUAUUGGGCGUAAAGCGCGCGCAGGCGGUCCUUUAAGUCUGAUGUGAAAUCCCACGGCUCAACCGUGGAAGGUCAUUGGAAACUGGGGGACUUGAGUACAGAAGAGGAAAGCGGAAUUCCAAGUGUAGCGGUGAAAUGCGUAGAGAUUUGGAGGAACACCAGUGGCGAAGGCGGCUUUCUGGUCUGUAACUGACGCUGAGGCGCGAAAGCGUGGG